AUUGAACGCUGGCGGCAGGCCUAACACAUGCAAGUCGAGCGAGUGGCGGACGGGUGAGUAAUGUAUGGGGAUCUUCCCGAUAGAGGGGGAUAACUACUGGAAACGGUGGCUAAUACCGCCUACUAUCGGAUUAACCCAUAUGGGAUUAGCUAGUUGGUGGGGUAAAGGCUCACCUAGGCGACGAUCUCUAGCUGGUCUGAGAGGAUGAACGGCCACACUGGAACUGAGACACGGCCCAGACUCCUACGGGAGGCAGCAGUGGGGAAUAGUGCGCAAUGGGGGAAACUCUGACGCAGCCAUGCCGCGUGAAUGAAGAAGGCCUUCGGGUUGUAAAGUUCUGUCGGUAGCGAGGCGUUAACUACAGAAGAAGCACCGGCUAACUCCGUGCCAGCAGCCGCGGUAAUUC
This 406-nucleotide ribosomal RNA is filed under the name uncultured bacterium. RNAcentral's name for it is "partial 16S ribosomal RNA". It matches the Rfam family "Bacterial small subunit ribosomal RNA", at positions 30 to 526 of the family's 1533-position model. The record is from RNAcentral.